Molecule: long non-coding RNA, 166 nt
Filed under: Dermacentor andersoni
Lineage: Eukaryota; Metazoa; Arthropoda; Arachnida; Ixodida; Ixodidae
Description: uncharacterized LOC126521904
Source: RNAcentral
UCACCACCUUCUCCUCACGUGCUACGUACUUGAUCCUAAAGGUGCUCAAAACAGCGGGAUGUGCUUCUUUACACUGAAGAUUUCAGCUUUGGUGAUUGUGCUAACCAUGCACGUCGCACUUGUUGCACCUAAUCCUCAGGACUGCAUUGCAAGGAAUAGCGAAAGA